RNAcentral lists this ribosomal RNA (275 nucleotides) under uncultured bacterium. RNAcentral's name for it is "partial 16S ribosomal RNA". It matches the Rfam family "Bacterial small subunit ribosomal RNA", at positions 338 to 614 of the family's 1533-position model. The record is from RNAcentral.
CCUACGGGUGGCUGCAGUGAGGAAUAUUGCGCAAUGGACGGAAGUCUGACGCAGCAAUGCCGCGUGCGGGAUGACGGUGCUAUGCAUUGUAAACCGCUUUAGCGUGGGAAGAAAAGGCCUUAGAAGGCUUAGACGGUACCACGAGAAUAAGCAUCGGCUAACUACGUGCCAGCAGCCGCGGUAAUACGUAGGAUGCAAGCGUUGUCCGGAUUUACUGGGUGUAAAGGGUGCGUAGGCGGGCUUGUAAGUCAGAGGUGAAAGCUCGGAGCUUAACU